Molecule: ribosomal RNA, 487 nt
Filed under: uncultured bacterium
Lineage: Bacteria
Description: partial 16S ribosomal RNA
Rfam family: Bacterial small subunit ribosomal RNA
Source: RNAcentral
GAUGAACGCUAGCGAUAGGCUUAACACAUGCAAGUCGAGGGGCAGCACAAGGUAGCUUGCUCUCUGGGUGGCGACCGGCGCACGGGUGCGUAACGCGUAUGCAACUUGCCCUAUACAGGAGGAUAACCCGUCGAAAGACGGACUAAUACUGCGUAUGCUCACAACUUGGCAUCAAGUGGUGAGGAAAGAAAUUCGGUAUAGGAUAGGCAUGCGUCCCAUUAGCUUGUUGGUGAGGUAACGGCUCACCAAGGCAACGAUGGGUAGGGGAACUGAGAGGUUUAUCCCCCACACUGGUACUGAGACACGGACCAGACUCCUACGGGAGGCAGCAGUGAGGAAUAGUGGUCAAUGGGCGCGAGCCUGAACCAGCCAAGUCGCGUGAAGGAUGACUGUCUUAUGGAUUGUAAACUUCUUUUAUACGGGAAUAACAAGAGUCACGUGUGACUCCCUGCAUGUACCGUAUGAAUAAGCAUCGGCUAACUCCGUG